Felis catus (domestic cat) is the source of this 2943-nucleotide long non-coding RNA. RefSeq lists it as uncharacterized. The record is from RefSeq and is a predicted model, not a curated record. Lineage: Eukaryota; Metazoa; Chordata; Mammalia; Carnivora; Felidae. The transcript has 2 exons.
GCUCUGAGCCAUCAGCCCAGAGCCCGACGCGGGGCUCGAACUCCCGGACCGCGAGAUCCUGACCUGGCUGAAGUCGGAUGCUUAACCAACUGCGCCACCCAGGCGCCCCAGAAUGUGUGUGGUUUUAAGGCACCAAGUUUUGGUGGUAUGUUACAGGGGCCCAGGACACCGUGCCCUGCCCCCAGGCUGAUCCUUAGGGAUGAGCCUGCACCAGCCUCCCCUUGCUGCUGUGACAGAGCAGCACAUCUUCCCUGGAAGCUUCUGGAGACUGGACUGACAGAGUACGUUCAUUCAACAGAGGGUGCGGUGGGGUCCCCCUGCUCUGGACUUCUCCUCCAGGACUCCCUCCAAAAUGCCUGUUCUGGCCUUGGCCUGGCCAGGUGGCUGGAACUCACAGCUGUUCCCAGAGCCGCGCAGAGAACAGUCAGGAAGAUCUGCUCACACAAAGAGAGGAAAUGGGCUGGACGGCGGAGAAAGGGCCGAGGGGCGAGCAGAUGCAGGGUGUCUGCCGGGACCCCGGGCUCGUGGCCACCUCCUGUGCCGUGAUGGACCAGGGACCUUGCUGUGGGGUCCCAGCCAGCCCUGUACCCAUCCCCCACUGAGGUCAGGAUUGGGGGUCCGGUGCCCAGUGAGAGGGAAAAUCAGCAAGCUGGUAAGUCCCGGGUGGAGGUCCCGGGGUGGGGGACACAGGGUGGCCACCUGACUAUAUCGCCACUUUCCAGCAAAGUGCUGGAGAGUGCCAAGUGUCACCAGUGUGAAAUCCAGGUCAACCCGGCAUCUGACUGAAGCUCAGACAGGCCUGGGGCUGGGCGGCAAGGUGGCGGGGACCAGCCCCCCCCGGGGACAGACAGAGCUGUCUCCAGGCUGUCGUCCCUGGUGGCCUUCCUGCGGACGGCAUCCCCAUCUAGGGACGGGAGGCCCACAGCAGGGAGGGGCAGAGCCGAGCAGCUGGUUUUGUUUUUCAUCCACUGUCUUUGGAAAGAAGGGCAGAUGGCUCCAGAAAUAUCUAGGAACGCACCCCCCUCCCUGGGUGGUGACCGGCAGUGCCAUCGGAAGGUCAGCAGAGUGUAGUGUAAACAGUGGCUUCAAAACAGCAGACCUGCACAAAACUCUGCUGUGGCUGGGGACAGCAGAGGUGACAACAGCCCCAACGUCUGACAAUUGCACGUGACGUGUCCACCGUGCACGCGCACGCCCCUCAGGUGCCUCCACCGCGCACGCGCACGUCCCUCGGCCGCGAGCAGGCGCGAGAGUCGCCCACUUCCGCCGCCCCGAGGACGGACCCCGGACCCAAGACGCUCAGGGAGGGAACCACACACGAGAGGCCACACGGGGUGUGAGUCCACGUGUGUGAAACGUGCAGAGCAGACCCAUCCACGGACGGGGAGGGGACUCGUGGGGGCCCGGGGCCGGGGGAGGGGGUGCCGGCGGGUGGUGAUGAGGUUUCUGUUAGGUGAGAAUGUUCGGGAGCUGGAUAGAGGUGAUGAUUGCACAACUUUGCAAAUGUGCCAAAUGCCACCGAACUGUUGACCUCGACUGGGUGACUUGUAUGGCAUGUCAGUGACACCUCAGUAGAGAUGUUUGACCACGACAGAAGCCAGCGCGGUGGCGGUUUGUGAUGGCGCGUGGUGACCGGGGACGAGGGGUUGACAGCACUGGGCGGGCGCGAAGGGCCGCCUGCUGCCCUGCUAACCCGGAUGGGACGCACAGCAGAUGACCACAAGUGCCGGCCAGCGCUUGGCACGUUUCCUGGCCGCGGCGGGUCACCGCAGGCAAAGAUCUGCGUGAACGCGGAAGAGGCCAGCGGGCGCGUGAGAGGCUGCCACGUUGCAGAUCGAGAGCUGAGCACCGGACCACGCUUUUGAACACGAUUGGCAACAGGAGACCAGGCAUUCGAGAAAACGCCUCGCUCACAAGAAACGUCGGAUCGUGUGCGCACAGACAUGGCUGGGAGGGUGUGACGUCGGCUGCGGUCUCCGCGCUCCCCAGCGACGCGGCAGACACCGGCACCCCGGGUCAGGAACGUCCCCUACAGCCUUUGUAUCUGGCGGUGGUUUCGCCCCAGGGGACCUUGUCCAGGCAGGGGCCACGUCUGCACAUCUGUGGUCUUCGCACUGGGGGCUCCUGGCAUCGAGGGGGUGGGGCCAGAAAUGCUGCUUGACCCCACACUGCCCAGGACGCCCUCCAGAGAACGAUCCAGCCUUGAACGUCGUUGGGGGUGGGGGUGGGGGAGGGGAAGGCAGACCCCGGUCUAGAGAGACUCUCCCCAGGUGGGUGCAGGAGGAAACAUCUAGAAUGUUCCAGCAGUACUGUCUCUUGGGAUGAACGGCUGCAACUACCUCGUCUGGCCCAGUCUCUCACUUGCUGGCUCUGAUGAAGCAUGAGGCCGUGUUGAAGUGGCCCAUGGGGCAGGGAGCCGAGGGUGGCCUCUGACCCACAGCCAGCAAGAGACUGCAGCCCUCAGUCCUGUAACUGCCGGGAGCCGAAUUCUGCCGACAACCACGGGACCUCAAGCAGGUGCAUUCCCAGGAGGCACCAUGCUCAUUGUGGAGCCCGACACGCGGCUUGACCCUCACGAACCGUGAGAUCAUGACCUGAGCUGAGAUCAAGAGUCGGAUGCUUAACUGACUGAGCCACGCAGGCGCCCCUCAAGUUUUAAAACCAUAUGAAGAAAAGAGAAAGGAAAAUGCAGUGUGCAGAGGUGCUGAGUGCUGGAAAUGACAGAGGGACGCGUGUGGCCGGGGUAAAUGGAGAGAUACGCGGGACCGCAGGGAUCGACCUAUGUUCCAGAAUGAACCUGGAACCACAUUAUUAUGCAAAUUAACCAUUUUCACCAGAAUCACAGAAGCAAGUUUUCUGGAACUGAAAGGAAUUUUAAAGUCCAUCGGCAAUCUAUACUUAGAAUAGUCCAGAAAAUAUUAAAAAACAACAACGAGGAAUUUA